ACUCAUGUCUAUUGUCAGAGCACUAUGCUGGAUACAAAUAGUUGGAUUUUUGCUUGCAUAAACAGCACUUCUAUGUGCCUGCAAGGGGUUGAUUUAUCAUGGAAAGCUGAACUGCUGCCAACAAUUAAGUAUCUGACCUUAAGACUUCAAGACUAUCCAUCUUUGUCUCACCUUGUUGUUUAUGUACCAUCUGUUCAUGGAAGUAAGCUCAAGUGAGAGGUAAUUCAGCAUCUUCAAUACUAAAAGCUCUCUUAAAGGGUUUUUCUGGCAGUUUGUUGUAGAUUGUGAAUUCUUUAAAAAAGAGAAAAGAUACGUACAGCUUCCUGUAACUCAUCUUUUUUCCUUUGGAUUGUCUUCAAGGAAAGUGGUGUUAAAUACAAAUGGCCUAUACUACAAUCUAGAGCUUCUGAACUUUGGACAGAUAUACCAAGCUUUUAAAAUCAACGUGGUAAGCAAGUGCUCAGCAGUCAAAGAAGAAAUAACCAAUAUCUAUAGACUUCAUAUUCCUUGGUCUUAUGAAGAUUCACUAACCAUUGCACA
Molecule: small RNA, 540 nt
Filed under: Pan troglodytes (chimpanzee)
Lineage: Eukaryota; Metazoa; Chordata; Mammalia; Primates; Hominidae
Description: processed transcript
Source: RNAcentral